This 18-nucleotide non-coding RNA is filed under the name Arabidopsis thaliana (thale cress). Lineage: Eukaryota; Viridiplantae; Streptophyta; Magnoliopsida; Brassicales; Brassicaceae. The record is from RNAcentral.
CUGGGCAAGUCCAUGGGC